This 346-nucleotide ribosomal RNA is filed under the name uncultured bacterium. Its description in RNAcentral is "partial 16S ribosomal RNA". It matches the Rfam family "Bacterial small subunit ribosomal RNA", at positions 338 to 682 of the family's 1533-position model. The record is from RNAcentral.
CCUACGGGUGGCAGCAGGGAGGAAUAUUGGGCAAUGGACGAGAGUCUGAACCAGCCAAGUAGCGUGAAGGAUGAAUGCCCUAUGGGUGGUAAACUUCUUUUAUAAAGGAAGAAAACGAGGCACGUGUGCGUGGUUGCAUGUACUUUAUGAAUAAGGAUCGGCUAACUCCGUGCCAGCAGCCGCGGUAAUACGGAGGAUCCGAGCGUUAUCCGGAUUUAUUGGGUUUAAAGGGUGCGUCGGCGGAAUAUCAAGUCAGCGGUAAAAAUUCGGGGCUCAACCCCGUCGUGCCGUUGAAACUGCUGUUCUUGUGUGGGCGAGACUUAUGCGGCAUGCGUGGUGUAGCGGU